Molecule: transfer RNA, 77 nt
Filed under: Ignavibacteriota bacterium
Lineage: Bacteria; Pseudomonadati; Ignavibacteriota
Description: Ignavibacteriae bacterium tRNA-Glu
Rfam family: tRNA
About the family: Transfer RNA (tRNA) molecules are approximately 80 nucleotides in length. Their secondary structure includes four short double-helical elements and three loops (D, anti-codon, and T loops). Further hydrogen bonds mediate the characteristic L-shaped molecular structure. tRNAs have two regions of fundamental functional importance: the anti-codon, which is responsible for specific mRNA codon recognition, and the 3' end, to which the tRNAs corresponding amino acid is attached (by aminoacyl-tRNA synthetases). tRNAs cope with the degeneracy of the genetic code in two manners: having more than one tRNA (with a specific anti-codon) for a particular amino acid; and 'wobble' base-pairing, i.e. permitting non-standard base-pairing at the 3rd anti-codon position.
Source: RNAcentral
GGCGCAUUGGUGUAAUUGGUUAACACGCCGCCCUCUCAAGGCGGAAAGUACGGGUUCGAUCCCCGUAUGCGCUACUA